CUUAAAUGAAUUGACGGGGCCGCACAAGCGGUGGAGCACGUGGUUAAUUCGAAGCAACGCGAAGAACCUUACCAGGUCUUGACAUCCCGAUGCUAUUUCUAGAGAUAGAAAGUUACUUCGGUACAUCGGUGACAGGUGGUGCAUGGUUGUCGUCAGCUCGUGUCGUGAGAUGUUGGGUUAAGUCCCGCAACGAGCGCAACCCCUAUUGUUAGUUGCCAUCAUUCAGUUGGGCACUCUAGCGAGACUGCCGGUAAUAAACCGGAGGAAGGUGGGGAUGACGUCAAAUCAUCAUGCCCCUUAUGACCUGGGCUACACACGUGCUACAAUGGUUGGUACAACGAGUUGCGAGUCGGUGACGGCGAGCUAAUCUCUUAAAGCCAAUCUCAGUUCGGAUUGUAGGCUGCAACUCGCCUACAUGAAGUCGGAAUCGCUAGUAAUCGCGGAUCAGCACGCCGCGGUGAAUACGUUCCCGGGCCUU
This 478-nucleotide ribosomal RNA is filed under the name uncultured Streptococcus sp. Its description in RNAcentral is "bacterial SSU rRNA". It matches the Rfam family "Bacterial small subunit ribosomal RNA", at positions 900 to 1382 of the family's 1533-position model. The record is from RNAcentral. Lineage: Bacteria; Bacillati; Bacillota; Bacilli; Lactobacillales; Streptococcaceae.